RNAcentral lists this ribosomal RNA (505 nucleotides) under uncultured bacterium. RNAcentral's name for it is "partial 16S ribosomal RNA". It matches the Rfam family "Bacterial small subunit ribosomal RNA", at positions 28 to 507 of the family's 1533-position model. The record is from RNAcentral.
GACGAACGCUGGCGGCGUGCCUAAUACAUGCAAGUAGAACGCACAGUUUAUACCGUAGCUUGCUACACCAUAGACUGUGAGUUGCGAACGGGUGAGUAACGCGUAGGUAACCUGCCUGGUAGCGGGGGGUAACCAUUGGAAACGAUAGCUAAUACCGCAUAAUAUUGAUUAUUGCAUGAUAAUUGAUUGAAAGAUGCUAUUGCAUCACUACCAGAUGGACCUGCGUUGUAUUAGCUAGUAGGUGAGGUAACGGCUCACCUAGGCGACGAUACAUAGCCGACCUGAGAGGGUGAUCGGCCACACUGGGACUGGGACACGGCCCAGACUCCUACGGGAGGCAGCAGUAGGGAAUCUUCGGCAAUGGACGAAAGUCUGACCGAGCAACGCCGCGUGAGUGAAGAAGGUUUUCGGAUCGUAAAGCUCUGUUGUAAGAGAAGAACGGGUGUGAGAGUGGAAAGUUCACACUGUGACGGUAUCUUACCAGAAAGGGACGGCUAACUACGUG